UACGAAUAACAAGAUUUGAACUUGUACAGAGUGAAUCUCUAAUGGCACCUGAAGCCAUCGCGUCUGCCAAUUUCGCCAUAUUCGC
This 85-nucleotide transfer RNA is filed under the name Pectinodesmus pectinatus. Its description in RNAcentral is "tRNA-Leu". The record is from RNAcentral. Lineage: Eukaryota; Viridiplantae; Chlorophyta; Chlorophyceae; Sphaeropleales; Scenedesmaceae.